Non-coding RNA from Beta vulgaris subsp. vulgaris (sugar beet), 332 nucleotides. Lineage: Eukaryota; Viridiplantae; Streptophyta; Magnoliopsida; Caryophyllales; Amaranthaceae. The record is from Rfam.
GCGAUUUCGGCUUAAAACCGCAACAAUAUGAUAUCAACAGAAAAAUUUUGGAAAAAAAUUGAAUUAUUUGACCAGAUAUAUUGCUGCGGGUUUUGCCACACUGGGACUGAGACACGGCCCAGACUCCUACGGGAGGCAGCAGUGGGGAAUUUUCCGCAAUGGGCGAAAGCCUGACGGAGCAAUGCCGCGUGGAGGUCGAAGGCCCACGGGUCGUUAACUUCUUUUCCCGGAGAAGAACCGCAACAAUAUAUUAAAAUAAUAUUAAAAAAAUAAUAUUUUAAUAUAUUGUUGCGAUUUUUGCCAGAAACCGCAGCAAUAUCAUUAAAAAAAUA